This 22-nucleotide unclassified non-coding RNA is filed under the name Mus musculus (house mouse). RNAcentral's name for it is "oocyte_clustered_small_RNA7841". Lineage: Eukaryota; Metazoa; Chordata; Mammalia; Rodentia; Muridae. The record is from RNAcentral.
CAGAACACAGAGGUCUGGAGCU